UACGGGGGGAGCAAGCGUUGUUCGGAUUUACUGGGCGUAAAGGGCGCGUAGGCGGCCAGCGCAAGUCAGUUGUGAAAUCUCCGGGCUUAACUCGGAAAGGUCAACUGAUACUGUGCGACUAGAGUGCGGAAGGGGCAACUGGAAUUCUCGGUGUAGCGGUGAAAUGCGUAGAUAUCGAGAGGAACACCUGCGGCGAAGGCGGGUUGCUGGGCCGACACUGACGCUGAUGCGCGAAAGCCAGGGGAGCGAACGGG
This 254-nucleotide ribosomal RNA is filed under the name uncultured bacterium. Its description in RNAcentral is "partial 16S ribosomal RNA". It matches the Rfam family "Bacterial small subunit ribosomal RNA", at positions 524 to 776 of the family's 1533-position model. The record is from RNAcentral.